AUGAAUGAUGCUUAUCUAGACAUUGCCAGAGUACAGAGUUUUCAGAGGGGCUGCUUGGAGAAGGAGAUUUUAGAAGUGAAUUCCUGCUGCCUCCUGGGAAAAUCCCUGCUGACUUCUUUACCCAUGCCCACGUUGACAGUUGUCAACACCUCUGACAGACCCAAGGAAAGGUGUUUUCCAAGGGAACGGCAGAAAAUCCCUACCUGGGCAACCCUUUAUUUGGAAACCGGAGAAUCCAUUCUGCGUCUAACGCCGGCUAUCCCUUCUCUAGUUGUGACCCCCUCCCCACCCCUACACACACACACCCACACACACACACACUGCGCUGGAGCUGCACAGACCGUCAGAAUUCCAUUCCUAAGGCGACCUUCAAUAGGGGCGGAACGCUGGAAGAAGUCUUUCGCUGUCAACUUUUAAGCCCCAGGUAACGCCAUCUUAAAGUACAACAGGUGGCUUGACUCUGCGCCCUCCGCAGGCUAGGAAGGUGCAAGGUUGGCUCGGGGACCACGUGGGCGACCAGGGAUACUUUCUUCAGGGAAAUUAUUUCCUGACCUUUGGCACUGUUUUCUGAGUUGGCAGAUUCAACCGGGUUGGUUCUUCCUCCCAGACCUCGUUUGGGGGUUGUCCUAGGUUGAGGUCUCCUCCCGCUCCUCCCCGCCUCUCAGAAUAACAUCACUUCGCCUCUGAAGGGCAACCGAAGACUGAGAGCAUCCCAAAGCCAACACAUGCGUGCUCCACACUCCUCCGCCCGUCUCACGCCCAGGUACCUGGGGACAGACUCGGAGGAGCGUGCCCCCGGACCUCCGAAGCGGUCCAGCCUCCAAGCACUUAGCCCGCCCCGUCCAGGCUGGAGACGGGUGGCCCCGGCCAAACUACUGCCCAAACAGCUGUUCUUUGGUGGGGCGGGGACCCGCCUCCCCGCAUCUCUCAGGUGCGAGGUCAGCACCCAGCCACCCGGGUCCCGGCCGCCACGCGCGCCCCUGCCCGGCGGCGCACUCACCUGCAGCGGGGCCCGGCUGGCGUUGGCCGCGGCCG
RNAcentral lists this long non-coding RNA (1035 nucleotides) under Capra hircus (goat). RNAcentral's name for it is "lncRNA (ENSCHIG00010010508.1)". Lineage: Eukaryota; Metazoa; Chordata; Mammalia; Artiodactyla; Bovidae. The record is from RNAcentral.